UACGGGGGGGGCAAGCGUUGUUCGGAAUUACUGGGCGUAAAGGGCGUGAAGGCGGCCAACUAAGUCGGAUGUGAAAUCCCCAGGCUCAACCUGGGAACUGCAUCCGAUACUGGAUGGCUUGAAUUCGGGAGAGGGAUGCAGAAUUCCAGGUGUAGCGGUGAAAUGCGUAGAUAUCUGGAGGAAUACCGGUGGCGAAGGCGGCAUCCUGGACCGACAUUGACGCUGUAGCGCGAAAGCUAGGGGAGCAAAC
Molecule: ribosomal RNA, 250 nt
Filed under: uncultured bacterium
Lineage: Bacteria
Description: partial 16S ribosomal RNA
Rfam family: Bacterial small subunit ribosomal RNA
Source: RNAcentral